GACGAACGCUGGCGGCGUGCUUAACACAUGCAAGUCGAACGGAAAGGCCUUUUCGGAGGUACUCGAGUGGCGAACGGGUGAGUAACACGUGGGUGAUCUGCCCUGCACUCUGGGAUAAGCCUGGGAAACUGGGUCUAAUACCGGAUAGGACCGCACUUUAGUGUGUGUGGUGGAAAGUUUUUUCGGUGUAGGAUGAGCCCGCGGCCUAUCAGCUUGUUGGUGGGGUAAUGGCCUACCAAGGCGGCGACGGGUAGCCGGACUGGGAGGUUGGUCGGCCACAUUGGGACUGAGAUACGGCCCAGACUCCUACGGGAGGCAGCAGUGGGGAAUAUUGCACAAUGGGCGCAAGCCUGAUGCAGCGACGCCGCGUGGGGGAUGACGGCCUUCGGGUUGUAAACUCCGUUCGCCAGGGACGAAGCGUUUUGUGACGGUACCUGGAGAAGAAGCACCGGCUGACUACGUG
This 463-nucleotide ribosomal RNA is filed under the name uncultured bacterium. RNAcentral describes it as "partial 16S ribosomal RNA". It matches the Rfam family "Bacterial small subunit ribosomal RNA", at positions 28 to 507 of the family's 1533-position model. The record is from RNAcentral.